CGAGGGGUGAUAGGUGCGCUGAUUUGAUGUAUGAUCAAAUUAAUCCUAAGACCACUCUCUCAAAUAAGAGAUCGAUUGUAUUACUUUAGGGUCGAAUUCCACAAAGCUCUCAGAUCACACAAUAAACUAAGUUUUCGAAUUAAACUAAACCAAUAGAUUAUCAAUUAAAAGACAAGAAAGAAGAAAAUAUCAAGUUGUAAAUCAGAUAGAUAAAAAUUCAGACUUACGAUAUUCUCAAAAAAUAGAUGAUUAGUAGAUCUAAUAAUGGGUAGGAUGUUAUCGAAAAGUUCUUAGUCUAGUUUGAUGAAGAGGA
RNAcentral lists this small RNA (313 nucleotides) under Arabidopsis thaliana (thale cress). Its description in RNAcentral is "ATSL107000". Lineage: Eukaryota; Viridiplantae; Streptophyta; Magnoliopsida; Brassicales; Brassicaceae. The record is from RNAcentral.